UUAUCAGCAUUAUGUUUGAUGCUAUUGUGAGUUAUGGCUCGGUUUCUUUCAAGGUAUGAGCUUCCGACAAAAGGCAUGAAGCCAAGAACAAAACUGGCAGGAAUGAUUGUAAGAAGUAGCUUCUGAAUCCAGUACAUUCUUCUGUUUCCAAGAAGAAAUUGAUGUCAAGAGAAACUCUUUUUUCACAAGUUCUCAACAGAAGUUGAUCUUAAAU
RNAcentral lists this long non-coding RNA (214 nucleotides) under Panax ginseng (ginseng). RNAcentral describes it as "long non-coding RNA (PGIN_LNC011161)". Lineage: Eukaryota; Viridiplantae; Streptophyta; Magnoliopsida; Apiales; Araliaceae. The record is from RNAcentral.